GGGACACGUCUGCUGAGGGGCUUGUUUAAUCGGCGUCCUCUCCCAUGGCUGAGAAUCAGCAGUCAGGAAUGUGAUCUGAGUGGGCACAAUGACGCUUAUCCCCCCCAACAAAGUUUUUUUCUUCUUCUCCUCCUCACAAGAUUUCCUUAAUCGGAUAAUUCCUGUCUUAUUGAACAAGGAGAGUAGAUCAUGGGCUGAGCUCUGGAAGAAAAACACUGGAGCAGAACUCAGGUCAUUUAUGACGAAGGAGUCUUGGACUGCUCUCACAGCUUUACAGUUCUGAAUGGAGGGAGAGGUGUAUUCAUUUGGACCCCAAACUCUUGGCGUGCUGCAGGAUGGUCCACGUGUGUGAGUGUUUCGAUGUGUUUCAAAAUGAGUGUGUAUGUUUGCAAGUUUGUGAUUGUACAUUUGUGUGUGGGAAACCCAGGAAAUCCAGUCUCCCAUGCGCCAACAUCCAUUGUGUUUGGUUUCCUCCUCUCUCUGUCCUUCUGAGUGACUGUGUGUGUGUUUAGCUGCAAAGCUUUCCUCUCUCGCUGCGGCUCUAAUGAGACAGAGGAGGAAGUCCAAGCAGGAGGAUUGCACUUGGCAGUGUUAACUGGAAACACUCUCAUGAAUGGGUCAGAGGAUCUGUGUUGGUCCUUUCUUCAUUCACAACAGAACAAUCUGUCCAGAACACGCACAUCAAAGAAUCCAGCACAGUAAAUAAAGACUGGAAGAUCAUAUGCAGAGAGGGAGAGCCGUGGAAUAAACCCAGACGCCACCCUUUGUGAUGUUGACUGGAUUGACUCUCUGUGGUUCCACUUCGCUUCACUUUCAACUUUAUUGUUUUCCGGGAGGAACAGAUAAAUAUGCACAGCAUGCUGUAGUAGGUUUCACAAAGUCAAAUUUUAAAUAUGUCUUAAACACAACACUGUGCAAACAUCUUGACUUGUUACAUUUUAUUAGAUUUUUGCAGGCUUCUGCACUGUGUAACAAAAUAAGUACGUAAAUUUUAUGUAGGUUGCCCUUUUCACAUUAAAAAUAUCUCAAAGUGCUUCACAACGUAGUAUAAAAUAAAAUAAAACAGAGGUGUGCACCAGAUGUCAUGAACAAAAUGAAUAAACAAUUGAAGAGGUAAGAAAAGUAGAUGUAAUGUUGGAUGGCUAAAAACACAGCAAUAAAAAUAAACUACAGAAUAACAACUUAAUGCCAUGACCAUUAUGGGAAGGCUGGUUUGAAAGGAUUUGUUUUAAACUGCUUUUUAAAAGACACCACAAAGUAAUCUGCUAUCACAGAGUUUCCCAAAAACCACAAAAAACUUGCAAACGAAGUAACCUUUCUGUAAGAUAUAGAAACAAAUUUAUGUCAGGGAAAAUCCCUAAUUGAUGCCUUUAGGCUUUUAGGCAAGUGUGCAUAUUCCUGAGUCAUUCAGUCGGAGUCAGAAAAGUAGACUAAAAUUGAUUCUUACCUCAUAUGUGCAAAACUACUAGUCAUUCAUGUUGUCACUAGUUUUCAUUUUAACUACCAGAUUUUUUCAGUUUCUUUCAAGAUAUUUCAAGGUUUUCUUUAGGCUUUAAUUGUUUUCAAAAUUUUAACCAUCACUUCAUUAAAAAAUAAUAGGUUUCAAAAGGUAACUUAUUGCUUCCUGACCCACUGUGAUAAGUACAGACACCUGUGCCAGAAUCACUACCAACCAGAAUAACUAACAGUUUAGUGCCUGCUUAGCGGAGACCCAAGCCAACCCAACAUGCCAAGUAAAACAAUUCUGCAGCUGAUAGCAAACGGACAAAAAAGGAAUAGCUUGUGUAAAGGCAAAAGUCAACAGGAGAAAGGAAAACUUUUGAGCGUCUAUAUUAAACUGAGAGCUAAUUUUCCUUUUAAUCUAUUAAUCAAUCAUCUAUCAAUAAGUCAACUUUAUUUAUAACAUUAGGUAGAUUUGGUUAUAGUGGGGUGAGUCAGCUUUCUUGCCUGACAGGAAACUUCGACACAGCAAUAAAUACAAAUAUAACAUUCAAAUUGGUCCAGUGCUUAAGACUGCUUUUGCUUUGAAGUGUGAGCUUUCAGAAUAAAUAAUUCUGAAUUUACUCCUCUUAUAGAAAAAGAAGCCCAGCAAUAAAUGUGUCUGGCACAUGCAACAAAGACCUUAAUAAUGCACACGACAAAGUGACAUCAUGUAAUAAAACACAAACAUAAUGAACACAUCUUUUGGAAACACAUACUUUCUUUUUAUGUUUGUACAGCCCUUUAUGAGGUUGUUUGUACAAUUACGAGUCUGAGGGUUAAAAUGUUGUUUCCCCAACUGUUUUUCCACAGGAUUUGUCAACUUUCCACAGGUCAUUGGGAUCCAUUGUUUUUCCAGGUUAUUGUGACAUUUGCUGGAUGUUUUAAGGGGUUUUCCACCAGCCCUUCAUAUUCCAUCACAGUGAUCAGAGGAGACCAAACAAGCAGUAGCAGCACAGUUUAGGUUCAAGAAGGUCACUGCUGCUCUUACACAACAUGCAGUUCACUGACCUGCAGUGUAUCUGUACAGUCUGUCGUGUGGAAAACAUCGCAUUUGAGAAAAACACACUUGCAGUGGGGAAAUUUUUGAUGAGAAACAGUCAGGAUGGAGGAUGUUGUUUUCCCCUCAUUUAAUCACAAAUGAGCAGGUUGGCCUUGUGCUGGACAGAAACAACUUUGUGAAAAGAAAUCUUUGUUGAAAGUUUUUCAAAUUUGCAUAGUGAAGAGCUGUCCUAUAAUAUGUUUAAAGCUAAUGUCCUCUUGUGUGAUAAACCAUAUAGAAUUUCUUUACUUUCAGACAUUUUCUAUAUAGCAUGCCUCAGCAUUUUUUUUCUGGGAUUGCACUUAUGGUCACAAAACUCAAUUUUAUAUCACAGCUGAGGAAACAAUAGAUACAAAAAUGUUGUAUAUUGCAACUGUAAGAACUUGGAAGAAAUAGCUCAUAGCUUAACUAUUGAUUAGAAUGUUAAAUUUUUAUUUUUGUGGGACAAAGACAAAUAGUUUACCAGAACUUUCCAGAGUACAACAGGAUACCUUGUUGUUGCUGUUAUUUUUUUUUUUAGGGAGAAAAGUUUUGAAACUAACAAAUCUUGUUAUUCAUAAACUUUGUCUGUUUUAAAAGUGUCAGGUUUAAUAGAUUCUACGUUACUAUGAUGAGUGACAAGAUGAAAUGAAACUGCUUGCAAAUUCAAUAAAAAUGGAAAAACCUCUGCAUCCAAGCUGUGCCACAAAGCUGCCUCUAGACAUAUAUACUGUAUCUAUCUAUAUAUACACACAUAUAUAUUUGUGGCAACCCGGGAUGGAUUUUCUUUAUUAUGAAACCCAAAUGUAAGAUGUUAAAGUUUACGAUAGGGGAAACCGACAACGCCACCUGAAAUAACUCCAGGAAAAUAGAAUGUAAUAAGGACACAGGUACGUUCUACUGGAAAUGAGACAAGAUUCAGACAGUUCUACAAAAAAAUUUAUUAAACUUCAAUGUGUUGUUUAAAUUAAUAACCUGAAAUUGAAUAGUUAAAACAGUUAAUGCAUUUUUAAUAAAGUUGAUAAUAAAAUGUUUAAAUUUCAAAGAAAAUUGAGGCUUAGCUACCAGUGGGGGGAGAGUAGUGAGGAAAGGGGCAACAUUCAGUGAAGAAAAGGGAUCACCCUAGACACUACAAAAACACGGCAAACGCACACACACGAAAAAGGUGCUCCAACAAAACACACAAGACACCAGGAAUCACCACCGCCACCACAGAAGCCUCAGUCCCUAAAAGAAAGACA
Long non-coding RNA from Xiphophorus maculatus (southern platyfish), 3741 nucleotides. RefSeq lists it as uncharacterized. The record is from RefSeq and is a predicted model, not a curated record. NCBI's taxonomy places the organism in Eukaryota, Metazoa, Chordata, Actinopteri, Cyprinodontiformes, Poeciliidae. The transcript has 2 exons.